This 72-nucleotide transfer RNA is filed under the name Dipodomys ordii (Ord's kangaroo rat). It matches the Rfam family "tRNA". Rfam says of the family: Transfer RNA (tRNA) molecules are approximately 80 nucleotides in length. The record is from Rfam by way of RNAcentral. Lineage: Eukaryota; Metazoa; Chordata; Mammalia; Rodentia; Heteromyidae.
GGAGGUAUGGCUCAGUGGUAGAGCAUUGGCUUAGUAUACACAAGGCUCUAGGUUCAAUCCCCAGUACUGCCA